Molecule: non-coding RNA, 79 nt
Organism: Merluccius polli (Benguela hake)
Lineage: Eukaryota; Metazoa; Chordata; Actinopteri; Gadiformes; Merlucciidae
Source: the annotation of a GenBank genome assembly
GGUCCUGUCUAGCCCAGCUUGUAGAGCAUGGCAUUAACACUGCUACGGUUAGGGGUUGGAUUCUCGCUCAGGACACCCA